UGCCUUAUAAUUGAAGGCUAGUAUGAAUGGUUUGACGAGAAUUGAGCUGUCUCUUUUCAACUAAAUAUAAUUUUAUUAAUAGGUGAAGAAGCCUAUAUUUCAUUGAAAGACAAGAAGACCCUAUCGAGCUUUAAGGAAUUUAAUAGACUCGCCAUAUAUUUAUAGAAAAACGAGACUACUAAAAACUUUGGUUGGGGCGACUGAGGAACAAAUAAAGCUUCCUCUUGAUUUAAAAUAACUUACAGGUAUUGAUCCAAUAAAUUUGAUUAAAGGAAUUAGUUACCGUAGGGAUAACAGCAUAAUCCCCUUUGAGAGUCCUUAUCGAAAAGGGGGUUUGUGACCUCGAUGUUGGACCAGAAUACCCAGAAGAUGCAGCCGUCUUCAAGGUUGGUCUGUUCGACCAUUAA
RNAcentral lists this ribosomal RNA (407 nucleotides) under Concholepas concholepas. Its description in RNAcentral is "partial 16S ribosomal RNA". It matches the Rfam family "Bacterial large subunit ribosomal RNA", at positions 1970 to 2591 of the family's 2925-position model. Lineage: Eukaryota; Metazoa; Mollusca; Gastropoda; Neogastropoda; Muricidae. The record is from RNAcentral.